AUUGAACGCUGGCGGCAUGCCUUACACAUGCAAGUCGAACGGUAACGGGCCUUCGGGUGCCGACGAGUGGCGAACGGGUGAGUAAUACAUCGGAACGUGCCCGAUCGUGGGGGAUAACGAGGCGAAAGCUUUGCUAAUACCGCAUACGAUCUACGGAUGAAAGCAGGGGACCGCAAGGCCUUGCGCGGACGGAGCGGCCGAUGGCAGAUUAGGUAGUUGGUGGGAUAAAAGCUUACCAAGCCGACGAUCUGUAGCUGGUCUGAGAGGAUGAUCAGCCACACUGGGACUGAGACACGGCCCAGACUCCUACGGGAGGCAGCAGUGGGGAAUUUUGGACAAAGGGCGCAAGCCUGAUCCAGCCAUGCCGCGUGCAGGAUGAAGGCCCUCGGGUUGUAAACUGCUUUUGUACGGAACGAAAAGCCUUCUUUUAAUACAGGAGGGUCAUGACGGUACCGUAAGAAUAAGCACCGGCUAACUACGUG
RNAcentral lists this ribosomal RNA (482 nucleotides) under uncultured bacterium. RNAcentral's name for it is "partial 16S ribosomal RNA". It matches the Rfam family "Bacterial small subunit ribosomal RNA", at positions 30 to 507 of the family's 1533-position model. The record is from RNAcentral.